GACGAACGCUGGCGGCGUGCUUAACACAUGCAAGUCGAACGGUGAAGCUCUAGCUUGCUGGAGUGGAUCAGUGGCGAACGGGUGAGUAACACGUGAGCAACCUGCCCCAGACUUUGGAAUAAGCGCUGGAAACGGCGUCUAAUACUGGAUACGAGAUCAAGCCGCAUGGUUAUGGUCUGGAAAGUUUUUCGGUUUGGGAUGGGCUCGCGGCCGAUUAGCUUGUUGGUGAGGUAAUGGCUGACCAAGGCGACGACGGGUAGCCGGCCUGAGAGGGCGACCGGCCACACGGGGACUGAGACACGGCCCAGACUCCUACGGGAGGCAGCAGUGGGGAAUAUUGCACAAUGGGCGGAAGCCUGAUGCAGCGACGCCGCGUGGGGGAUGACGGCCUUCGGGUUGUAAACCUCUUUCAGCAGGGAAGAAGCGAAAGUGACGGUACCUACAGAAGAAGCACCGGCUAACUACGUG
RNAcentral lists this ribosomal RNA (468 nucleotides) under uncultured bacterium. Its description in RNAcentral is "partial 16S ribosomal RNA". It matches the Rfam family "Bacterial small subunit ribosomal RNA", at positions 28 to 507 of the family's 1533-position model. The record is from RNAcentral.